GCGCGAAAACUCCGCAAUGUGGGAAACCACGACGGGGGAACUCCAAGUGCCAGCACAGAGUGUUGGCUGUUUCCGAGUCUAAAAAACUCGGAGAGUAAGGGCUGGGUAAGACGGGUGCCAGCCGCCGCGGUAAUACCUGCAGCCCAAGUGGUGGUCGUUAUUAUUGGGCCUAAAGCGUCCGUAGCCGGCUGCGUAAAUGCCUGUGCAAAUCGUACGGCUUAACCGUGCGAAUAGCGGGUAGACUGCGCGGCUUGGGACCGGGAGAGGCACGAAGUACUCCAGGGGUAGAGGUGAAAUUCUGUAAUCCUUGGGGGACUACCGGUGGCGAAGGCGUCGUGCUAGAACGGCUCCGACGGUGAGGGACGAAGCCCUGGGGCGCAAACCGG
RNAcentral lists this ribosomal RNA (386 nucleotides) under uncultured bacterium. RNAcentral describes it as "bacterial SSU rRNA". It matches the Rfam family "Archaeal small subunit ribosomal RNA", at positions 339 to 727 of the family's 1478-position model. The record is from RNAcentral.